Molecule: ribosomal RNA, 425 nt
Filed under: Salmonella enterica subsp. enterica serovar Derby
Lineage: Bacteria; Pseudomonadati; Pseudomonadota; Gammaproteobacteria; Enterobacterales; Enterobacteriaceae
Description: partial 23S ribosomal RNA
Rfam family: Bacterial large subunit ribosomal RNA
Source: RNAcentral
AGGCCAACUGGUGCCGUCCCUUCGGGCGCCGGCCCGCUGCCCCGUCGGUGCCGUGCUUUCCUCCUGGAGCUGACGUCAGUCGCCGCUACCCGCUGGCUGCCACUGUUUCUUCCCCCCACCGCCCUGUGCCCCCCCGCCCGUGGCCGUCUCCGGUGUGCCGCCUGCCCGGUGCCGGCCGGUUCCUUGCUGGGGUCCGCGCCCGCGCCGCUCCUGCUCGACGCCCCGGUCCCCGGCGGCCGUCCCUCUACCGGUCCUCCGGUCGCGACCUUCCUUGUCGGGUCCGUUCCGCCCUGCCCGCCUGGCGUCCUGCUGGCCCGGCUGUCUCCCCCCGCGCCUCAGUGAAAUUGAACUCGCUGUGAAGAUGCAGUGUACCCGCGGCACGACGGACCGACCCCGUGACACUUUCCUCUCUCUUUCCCCUGCCC